UGGGGAAUAUUGCACAAUGGGCGAAAGCCUGAUGCAGCAACGCCGCGUGAGUGAUGAAGGUCUUCGGAUUGUAAAGCUCUGUCUUUUGGGACGAUAAUGACGGUACCAAAGGAGGAAGCCACGGCUAACUACGUGCCAGCAGCCGCGGUAAUACGUAGGUGGCGAGCGUUGUCCGGAUUUACUGGGCGUAAAGGGUGCGUAGGCGGAUGUUUAAGUGAGAUGUGAAAUACCCGGGCUUAACUUGGGUGCUGCAUUUCAAACUGGAUAUCUAGAGUGCAGGAGAGGAGAAUGGAAUUCCUAGUGUAGCGGUGAAAUGCGUAGAGAUUAGGAAGAACACCAGUGGCGAAGGCGAUUCUCUGGACUGUAACUGACGCUGAGGCACGAAAGCGUGGGUAGCAAACAGGAUUAGAUACCCUGGUAGUCCACGCCGUAAAACGAUGAGUACUAGGUGUAGGAGGUAUCGACCCCUUCUGUGCCGCAGUAAAACACAUUAAGUACUCCGCCUGGGAAGUACGAUCGCAAGAUUAAAACUCUAAAGUGAAUUGAC
Molecule: ribosomal RNA, 547 nt
Filed under: uncultured bacterium
Lineage: Bacteria
Description: partial 16S ribosomal RNA
Rfam family: Bacterial small subunit ribosomal RNA
Source: RNAcentral